RNAcentral lists this ribosomal RNA (253 nucleotides) under uncultured bacterium. RNAcentral describes it as "partial 16S ribosomal RNA". It matches the Rfam family "Bacterial small subunit ribosomal RNA", at positions 524 to 776 of the family's 1533-position model. The record is from RNAcentral.
GACAGAGGGUGCGAACGUUGUUCGGAAUUACUGGGCGUAAAGCGCGUGUAGGCGGCAGCGCAAGUCGGGCGUGAAAUCCCACGGCUCAACCGUGGAAGUGCACUCGAAACUGCGCAGCUAGAGUCCUGGAGAGGAAGGUGGAAUGCUUGGUGUAGAGGUGAAAUUCGUAGAUAUCAAGCGGAACGCCGGUGGCGAAGGCGGCCUUCUGGACAGUGACUGACGCUGAGACGCGAAAGCGUGGGGAGCAAACAGG